GAAAUGCGAUAAGUAAUGAGAAUUGCAGAAUUCAGUGGAUCAUCGAAUCUUUGAACGCACAUUGCGCCCCUUGGUAUUCCGGGGGGCAUGCCUGUUCGAGCGUCAUUUCAACCCUCAAGCGCUGCUUGGUCUUGGGCCUGGCCAUCGUGGCCGGCCUUAAAAUCAGUGGCGGUGCCUGCUGUAGGCUCCAAGCGUAGUACAUCUCUCGCUCUGGAAGCCCGGCGGUGCCUGCCAGACAACCCCUAAAUUGUCUCUUACGGUUGACCUCGGAUCAGGUAGGGAUACCCGCUGAACUUAA
RNAcentral lists this unclassified non-coding RNA (298 nucleotides) under uncultured Helotiales. RNAcentral describes it as "sequence contains ITS1". The stretch from base 1 to 105 matches the Rfam family "5.8S ribosomal RNA", at positions 50 to 154 of the family's 154-position model. Lineage: Eukaryota; Fungi; Ascomycota; Leotiomycetes; Helotiales. The record is from RNAcentral.